CAACACUCUGCUUUGAUGCUUUGCUCUAAGAAAUCCUUGGUCCACAGCUAGAAGAUAUCAGUUCCCCUGAAGGCUUCUAGAAACCUGCUCAGAUUUACCAACGAGGAAAGCAGGAGCAAUUAGAAAGACGAGCUCUGAAACAUGGACAGGCUCCACACGAACAGUCCCUUUUGUGGGAAUACCAACUUUCAUUGCCUUGGGAGAAGGUGACUUUAUCAAG
This 220-nucleotide long non-coding RNA is filed under the name Gallus gallus (chicken). The record is from RNAcentral. Lineage: Eukaryota; Metazoa; Chordata; Aves; Galliformes; Phasianidae.